AUACGGAGGGUGCAAGCGUUAAUCGGAAUUACUGGGCGUAAAGCGUACGUAGGCGGUCCGUUAAGUUAGAUGUGAAAGCCCCGGGCUUAACCUGGGAACUGCAUUUAAAACUGGCGAACUAGAGUUGAGCAGAGGGGAGUGGAAUUUCAGGUGUAGCGGUGAAAUGCGUAGAGAUCUGAAGGAACACCAGUGGCGAAGGCGACUCCCUGGACUCGAACUGACGCUGAGGUACGAAAGCGUGGGUAGCAAACGGGAUUAGAAACCCCAGUAGUCC
Molecule: ribosomal RNA, 274 nt
Filed under: uncultured bacterium
Lineage: Bacteria
Description: partial 16S ribosomal RNA
Rfam family: Bacterial small subunit ribosomal RNA
Source: RNAcentral